Non-coding RNA from Peromyscus maniculatus bairdii (prairie deer mouse), 763 nucleotides. NCBI's taxonomy places the organism in Eukaryota, Metazoa, Chordata, Mammalia, Rodentia, Cricetidae. The record is from RefSeq and is a predicted model, not a curated record.
UUCCACAACACCAUGCUGUGUGCUUUGCACAAGUACUCCUGAUAAUGCUCUGUGUGGGAUUUUCUCCUGUGUGGCUUUGUCCUGCCCCUUACUGUGUUUUGACACAUAUGGAGAAUGGUGUACAGGUCCUAGUCCAGGUGGCUUUUGCAGAAGCAAAAAAGGGAAUUAAUGCAGACUGGAGAUGACACAGGAGCAUUAGCAUGCAUUCACAAACCACUGUUGCCCACAGGGACGGAAUGACCAUUGAAAGGGCAAGAGGAACCUGUAGCCACCCAUUAUGAUGUCAGGGAAGUUCUAAAAGAAUAGUUACUGCUUUUCUCAGUCAAGACCGGGUAUGAUAUAUACCCAACAUCUUUAUAAUACAUGAGUUCAUCAUUUAUUUAAUCGACUUCCUACAGAUCUGGCUUUUCUCAGUGCUUCUUGCUAUUAUUAGUAGUUUUCUAGUGUUCAAUCUGUUCCUUUUUCAAAGAGUGCCUUGGUACUUUGGGUAAUUUGAGAUGUGACUGGAAGGGAAAGAGAUCAGAUUAGAUUGGAGUCACAGGAAGACUGCAGAAGGGCCAGUGAGACGCACCUGGCUGAGGACAGGCCUGGAGGCUCCAGCAACUUAGGUGACAAAGGGUUUAUUCUGAUUCACUGCUGCAAGCCGCAGGAAAACAUAAUGGAUCAGCUACUAUCACAAAAGCUGUUACUUGGGAAGGUUAAGGACUUUUCUGAAGGUCAAGCCAUGGCUUAAGAAGUCUUGGUGAACGUCUGUCUGCACGUC